GACGAACGCUGGCGGCGUGCCUAAUACAUGCAAGUAGAACGCACAGUUUAUACCGUAGCUUGCUACACCAUAGACUGUGAGUUGCGAACGGGUGAGUAACGCGUAGGUAACCUGCCUGGUAGCGGGGGAUAACUAUUGGAAACGAUAGCUAAUACCGCAUAAUAUUAAUUAUUGCAUGAUAAUUAAUUGAAAGGUGCAAUUGCACCACUACCAGAUGGACCUGCGUUGUAUUAGCUAGUAGGUGAGGUAACGGCUCACCUAGGCGACGAUACAUAGCCGACCUGAGAGGGUGAUCGGCCACACUGGGACGGAGACACGGCCCAGACUCCUACGGGAGGCAGCAGUAGGGAAUCUUCGGCAAUGGACGAAAGUCUGACCGAGCAACGCCGCGUGAGUGAAGAAGGUUGUCGGAUCGUAAAGCUCGGUUGUAAGAGAAGAACGGGUGUGAGAGUGGAAAGUUCACACUGUGACGGUAUCUGACCAGAAAGGGACGGCUAACUACGUG
This 505-nucleotide ribosomal RNA is filed under the name uncultured bacterium. Its description in RNAcentral is "partial 16S ribosomal RNA". It matches the Rfam family "Bacterial small subunit ribosomal RNA", at positions 28 to 507 of the family's 1533-position model. The record is from RNAcentral.